MicroRNA precursor from Sorghum bicolor (sorghum), 106 nucleotides. It matches the Rfam family "mir-160 microRNA precursor family". From Rfam's summary of the family: The hairpin precursors (represented here) are predicted based on base pairing and cross-species conservation -- their extents are not known. In this case the mature sequence is excised from the 5' arm of the hairpin. The record is from Rfam. Lineage: Eukaryota; Viridiplantae; Streptophyta; Magnoliopsida; Poales; Poaceae.
AUAUGCCUGGCUCCCUGUAUGCCACUCGCUUAGCUGCCAACAACUCAUACUACGUUGUUAACGACGUUGGCUCUACUGCGGAUGGCGUGCGAGGAGCCAAGCAUGA